RNAcentral lists this small RNA (937 nucleotides) under Pan troglodytes (chimpanzee). Its description in RNAcentral is "processed transcript". Lineage: Eukaryota; Metazoa; Chordata; Mammalia; Primates; Hominidae. The record is from RNAcentral.
AUUUUUAAAAUUUUUUCCUAGUGUCAGAUCUGUUUUCUGAUUUUAUAACUCCUUUUUAUUUUCCCCUUUUCUGCCUUCUAUCCCCAUCUAUUGCUUAUCCCCAUAAAGAAAUUUUUAGGCAUACAUAGGUUAAAAUCAAAAUUAGACACAUUGAAUUUCAGUUUGUUUUUCAAGAAUUGAGUAAUAGCUUUUAAAAUCAUUUUAAGGCUGAUAUGAUUUUACUGACCUAUAAGCAAGAAUUUUAUAAAUAUAUUACUUUUAUGUUUUUUCGUCACUUUCUGCCUUAUUCUUUCAGAAUACCUAUGCUCAGUUCAUUGAUUUACCAUUACCUUUAGUUUCUUAACUUUCCAGAAUUUAGUUUCCCACUCACACCUCAAGUCUUGACAGUGUGGGUCUUCUUUAUAUGUAUACUGUUUAAAGAAAAACUAAUAUGUGAACAUCCAAACCUUUAAAAAUAAAGUAGAAGAGAAUACUACCCAUGUCUUUAUAUUACAAGUUUUUAACCCCGUAUUUUAAAAAUGUGAUUUGUGCAAAAUUAAGUGAAUUUGCUUAAAGUGCUGUAAUGAGAGAGAAGAGAAAGUAUUUUACUUAAAUAUAUUGUUCUUCAAACGUAUGUUGUUUUGCUUUUUAAAAAUCAUUCCCUUGUAGGGAUUUGUUCCUGGGCUGUUUGGAACAUCGCAUGGUGCCCUUCAGUUUAUGGCAUAUGAAUUGCUGAAGUUGAAGUACAACCAGCAUAUCAAUAGAUUACCAGAAGCCCAGUUGAGCACAGUAGAAUAUAUAUCUGUUGCAGCACUAUCCAAAAUAUUUGCUGUCGCAGCAACAUACCCAUAUCAAGUCGUAAGAGCUCGUCUUCAGGAUCAACACAUGUUUUACAGUGGUGUAAUAGAUGUAAUCACAAAGACAUGGAGGUGAGAGCACGUGCUAUAUCAAAAAUUGC